Culicoides brevitarsis is the source of this 714-nucleotide long non-coding RNA. RefSeq lists it as uncharacterized. NCBI's taxonomy places the organism in Eukaryota, Metazoa, Arthropoda, Insecta, Diptera, Ceratopogonidae. The record is from RefSeq and is a predicted model, not a curated record. The transcript has 4 exons.
GUAAAGAUAUGAGCUUUUGAUAUGAAUUGUGUUAAGUAUUUAUCUUAAAAUCUUAAAAAUUUGUGUUUUGAUAUAUAAGUUGAAUUAGUGAAAGUAAACUUCUUGACGAUAGUUUAGGAGGAGUAGUGUAAUGAGUGAUAAAUACUGUCAUCUGAUCCUGUUGAAAUGGCAUCUCCACUUGGGUGAAAUUUUACAGAAUUAAUGUCAGAAAUAUGACCUUCAAAUGAUUGGACCACAUGACCAGAUCUCAUGUCCCAAAUAAAUGCCAUUUUGUCACAACUCUAUAAGAAAUUAAUUAAAUUAAAACUAAGGAGAUAAAUCAAUGGACAUGACAUCUCCAGUGUGUCCAUGAAAACUUUGUAAUAAUUGGCCAGAUUCAACAUCCCACAAUGCACAGGUAGAGUCUCCACUUCCAGUAAGUAUUUGUUGAUCUGAACGUGGAAAUGUGCAACAAGACAUAUAACUGGUAUGAGUUCCGACUGUUUUCUUCCUUGAUGACAUGUCUUCUUCGACGGAUAUUGGAUACACAGUAACUUUGUUAUCUAGACCACUACGGCCCGUAAGCACAAGACAUAAUCCAAGUUGUGGGCAUAGUAACAGCUUGUUCUUUAUUAGUCGUAAAAGCAUCCCAAAUAAUUAGUUUGCCAUCCUGUUAAAACAUCAUGUUAAUUUUUCAAAACUAGAUUUUCAUUGCUAGACCUGUAAUACCUGCGA